Molecule: long non-coding RNA, 3826 nt
Organism: Panonychus citri (citrus red mite)
Lineage: Eukaryota; Metazoa; Arthropoda; Arachnida; Trombidiformes; Tetranychidae
Exons: 8
Source: RefSeq, a predicted model, not a curated record
UUUGGAUAAGCUGAUGACCCAAGACCGAAAACAGCAAACCUAAAGUAAAUCAAGACCCAAAUCAAAAUGGAAAUGGUCAAAGACCAAAACAUCAACCAAAUAAAUAAGGAAGGAAAAGAAAAGAACAAUAACAAAAAUUAAGAUAUUUGGAUUUGUGUUUACCAAUUUCGCUUUUCCAAUCAAUCAAUUAAUUCUUGUUCAAUUAACUCAAGUUACCAUAAUAAAAACAUUGGAUAAUAAAUGUUGUCUUACCCAGAAGUAUAUAUUAUCAAUAGUAAAGGGAUUCACCUACUUAAUCUUUACAGUUAUAAUAGUGACCUUGGAUAUCUUAAUCCGUUACAUCAAAUGAUAUAAAAACAAAGUGAUGAGUUUUUACCUUUGAUCAAGAGUUUGAAGGAUUUAACCAACAUAAAUACUUAAUUGUUAUAAUUGUUAUAGACGAGAUUUUUCUUUUUCUUUUCUUUUUGCCUUCUUCUUAAAUCUAGAUUAAAAGCCAUGUGAGUGGAUAAAAAAAAAUUAGAGAUAAACAUAAACAACAAUUAAAGAUUAUCAAGAGAAACCAAAUGGACACGAAUGAGUAUUGACAUUGACUUUUACUCAUUGACACAAAUUGUUUAUACGCUUGGUAGGAGGUGAAGUGACCAUUGGAUUGUAAUGAACUUUCACUGAGAACGGAGAAAGUGAUGACCAUUGAUAAGAAAGAGAGGGAGAAAAAAAUAAGGAUAAAAAUAAUAUCAUGCAAAUCGAAUAAAAAAAACAAUAUAUGGUAGAGGAUGGAAAAAAUCAAUGUAAUUUGCCUUCUUCCUUUUUCUAAUUAGCUGUUAAAUGAAGCGAAAAAAUAAUCAUAAUGUUGAUCAUUGAUUAAACCAUAAUAAUAACGGUAACAUCGCAACACCAUCGACAUCGACAUCAUCAACAAUUAUGUUCAUAUAACAACAAUGGUUAAAAAAAAGGUCCAUGAAUUGAUGCCAAGAAACAUUUUCUGCCAAAUGAUUGAAUCAUUAACAGUAUUAACAAUGGAUGAUGCUGAUGAAGAGACAGAGGGAGCUAAUAAUGAAGUUAACAACAAUAUAAUCAUCAAUAGGAGGAGGUGAUGAUGAUAAUAAAAAAAAAUCAAUGAUAAACAAAAUACAUAAUAAUAAUACUUGUUACCAGGUUUCUUAUUAUGCUUAUUAUGAAUCAAAGAAUUGACAUCAAUCAAUGGUGACGAUAAUACAUGUAAACAGGAAGAAGGCAGUUACACCCCACCAUCACCAUCAUCAACUCUCCAUCAACAUCCAACACUCUCUUUCCACCCUCUUUGAAUAUUCAUCCUCUAUGAAAGAUUGAUGAUCAAAGAAAAUGAUGAAGAUGAUGAAGAUGAUGAUGGUGAUGCUUUUGAUGGCGAAGGUAAAAAUAUGGAAGAGAUGGAGAAAACAAGAGAGAGAGAGGAAAACCAAGGAAAGGUGAACCCCCACCAGUGGAGAAAAUGUUAAAAGGAGGAAACAGAAAGGAUGAGGAUUCGAAUGUAAUACCUUUUGGUGAUUUCCGUUUUCUUGAAAUCACUUUCCUUAAGGAGUUUACCAUCUUCAAGUAUUAUCUUUGAUGUUACAUCAGAUUCCAAUUUAAGCUUCUCCAAUUCCAAUGAGUUUCCAUUAUGUAUACUGUUGAUUUUAGUGUAAUAUACAUACACACAUAAUCAUUAUCAUUUGAUUAUCAUCAUCAACAAUCAACAAUCAAACAUGAAAAGAGAUCAAGAAAAUCUUCAACACCACCAAACCGGAUGAUAAACGAUAACGUUGAAAAUGGACACAAGAGAAACUUAUUUUAACCUGACUCACUCAUUUGGACAGUAAUUAUAUAAUAAUUCCUAUCAUCCAAUAACAAUUAACAUAAAUCAAUCUCUUAUUUGAUUACACACAGACAAUCAAAGUCUUAUAUUGGACACUUGAUGGACACAAUUAUUAUUACCAAAAAAAAAGUUUAACCCAAAAAUUGAACAAGACAAAUUAAUUGACAUUAAGCGGAUAAUAUUAGUAACUAUUAACUUUAGAUAUGAUAUAUAUAUCCCAAGGAAUCAAUAUUUAAUAUAUUAACUAUCAACAAUGAUAUUAAUAUAUCGAGUUUUAUAUGGUUUAAAUGCUUGUGAAUUAUUAAUUGUCAAUAUUUAAUUGUUACUUAAUUAUAUUUACCGUUACAUUGAAUGCAAAGGAAAAUAUUUGCUCCAAUCUUUUAGCAUAUUCUUCGGAUCUUCCCGUUUCCGUUGCAUAAAGUAUUGUGGCCUUGACCCGCUUGGACAAAGCUUUGCCGAACAGAUUAGAAGUGAACUUGACUGCUCGAGCGAUUUCUUUGAACUUUUUCUUUCGACCUUGAAUCAUCGAUUUUUCACCAUUCGGUGAGAUAUUCCAAGAAUGUAAUCUCCAUGCUGGUUCCUGUGAAUGGUCAUCAUGAUAAUGACCAUUAUUAAGAGAGAGAGAGAGAGAGAGAGAGAGAGAGAGAGAGAGAGAUGGUCAAUACAAUGAGAUAUAAAAGAACAACAAUUGAAACUAUGGUGGAGAAAAUAUUUUCUUCUGUUCUAAGAAUGAUAAAAGUUUAGUUUUCUCUUCAAAUUCUGUUAUACAUUAAGAUUAUCAUGAACAUCAUGAAUUUCCAGGGGAAUCAUUUUUUAUUUCCAUGGUUAACAUUAACUCUUAACCAUUAUCAUAUUUUGUGGUUAAUCAACCUGCAGAUUCAUUCGUUGUUUAGCCAUGAAAAAUAACGUUGAAAAAAAAACUCGCUAAAAUUUUCAUGAUAAGAUCUGAAAUUUUCAUUUUCUAUUCAUGUUACAAUUUCAUGAUGAUGAACUUUUUUUCCCCUAUUCAAGUUAACAAAAUUUUCCUCCAUAGUUUUAUAUACAUUGUCUUUUGGAAGUUUUUUUUUCUUCCAUCUCAUCAUAUCAUGAAUAUAAUCAACUUUUACUGGGGAGUUUUAAUUGUAAUGAUUAAGUUAAUGAUGAUGAUGAUUAUUAUUAUUACAAUUUCUUUCAACAAUCAAGUUAAUAUUUCAACUUUACAACAAUCAAAUGUAUUUACAUGGACAAAGAAUAGACUGAAACCUUAAUUGUUUCAACUUUCAAUUAUUCUCUUUGUCAAUUCCAAGCCAUUUAAUUAUCACAAAAGAGACAUUGAAAUGUAAAUAUAUUAACUAAUUUUGGGACAGUAAUUAACUUUGAAUAACUAAUUGUUGAAAAAAAUUAGUGAUUAAUUAGAACAACAAAUUAUCAGAUAGAAAUAGUUAAUCAAUUUGUGUUUUAUUGUAAACAAAAAUUAAGUUGUAAUCGAUUGUUAUUAUUAUUAUUUGCUCAUGAUAAUAAUAAACCUUGACAAUCAACUGAUUAUUGACUUAAUCAUUUAUUAUCAUCAUAAAAUAUAAUCAAGUUGAUGAUUACAAUCAACAUUUUGACUCAAUUUUCAUGAAGAUACACUUGAAACAUAAACGAAUCCGCUGAAUACAUGUAAUGGUACAAGAAUAGGAAAUAAAAAGGAUCCCCGGAAGUCACGAUAAUAGAUGAUGAUGUUCAUCAUCAUCAUCAUCAGAUUGUCAUCAUGAUGAUGAAAAACAAGAAUCAGAACAAUAUGAAAAAAAACAAGGAAAUUAUAUAUAACAUAAGAUGUUAUUUCCCUCGGACUAUGGUCAGUAUAUGGACAAUAAGAUGAGACAAGAAAUGUUCAGAAAUGAUAUUAAUUGGAAUCGUAAAGACAAUGUUAUUAAUAUGCAACAAUCGGUUGAGUAGAUUGUUGUUUUCAUGGAUUUUGUGAUAAAAUAAAUUACCUGAUAUUCAAAGCUUGGUUUUAAACGAUAAUCCAAC